GACGAACGCUGGCGGCGUGCUUAACACAUGCAAGUCGAGCGGUAAGGCCCUUCGGGUACGACGAGCGGCGAACGGGUGAGUAACACGUGGGUGACCUGCCUCUAGCUCUGGGAUAAGCCUGGGAAACUGGGUCUAAUACCGGAUAUGACUCCACGGCGCAUGUUGUGGGGUGGAAAGCCUUGUGUGGCUAGAGAUGGGCCCGCGGCCUAUCAGCUUGUUGGUGGGGUGAUGGCCUACCAAGGCGACGACGGGUAGCCGGCCUGAGAGGGCGACCGGCCACACUGGGACUGAGACACGGCCCAGACUCCUACGGGAGGGCAGCAGUGGGGAAUCUUGCGCAAUGGGCGAAAGCCUGACGCAGCGACGCCGCGUGAGGGAUGACGGCCCUCGGGUUGUAAACCUCUUUCAGCUCCGACGAAGCGAGAGUGACGGUAGGAGCAGAAGAAGCACC
This 451-nucleotide ribosomal RNA is filed under the name uncultured bacterium. RNAcentral's name for it is "bacterial SSU rRNA". It matches the Rfam family "Bacterial small subunit ribosomal RNA", at positions 28 to 494 of the family's 1533-position model. The record is from RNAcentral.